CCUACGGGAGGCAGCAGUGAGGAAUAUUGGUCAAUGGCCGGAAGGCUAAACCAGCCAAGCCGCGUGAAGGACGAAGGUGCCAAGCAUUGUAAACUUCUUUUGUCAAGGGACAAAAUCAGGCUCGAGAGCCUGACCGAGGGUACUUGAAGAAAAAGCAUCGGCUAACUCCGUGCCAGCAGCCGCGGUAAUACGGAGGAUGCGAGCGUUAUCCGGAUUUAUUGGGUUUAAAGGGUGCGUAGGCGGACUGUUAAGUCAGCGGUAAAAGCCCGGGGCUCAACCCCGGCGAGCCGUUGAAACUGGCUGUCUUGAGAUGUCGAGAGGUAUGCGGAAUGCGCAGUGUAGCGGUGAAAUGCUUAGAUAUUGCGCAGAACUCCGAUUGCGAAGGCAGCAUACCGACGGCGAUCUGACGCUGAGGCACGAAAGCGUGGGUAUCGAACAGGAUUAGAUACCCCUGUAGUC
This 459-nucleotide ribosomal RNA is filed under the name uncultured bacterium. RNAcentral's name for it is "partial 16S ribosomal RNA". It matches the Rfam family "Bacterial small subunit ribosomal RNA", at positions 338 to 795 of the family's 1533-position model. The record is from RNAcentral.